CGGUCAUGACCUUUGGGAGGAGCUCAGAGAGGCGGAGAAACGAAGUUAGAAAAACAGAUUAAAGCCAAGUUUAAACCGGUGCUUCGGUUUGUCUGUACUGUGAGAAAGCUUAGUUACCGAAGAAGCCUGGAUGCUAUAACAAGCUUUGGAGCUGCUUUUCUGUCGAACAGGAGUGAGGAUGGACGCCGAAUACACCUGCGACGCGAAGGCGUCACCACUUUGUCCACAACAUCAUCCACGAUCGCAGAGACAUGGUCCAUGAUCGGAGAGACAUUGUUGAGGAUGAGGGAGACAUCGUCCACAAUCAGAGACAUUGUCCACGAUCGCAGAGACCUUGUCAAAGAUGAGAGAGACGUCGUCCAUGAUCAGAGACAUUGUCCCAUGCUUCGUAGAGACCUUGCGAUAGAAUCGGCGGAGACGGGGGUCACCGAUUUGAAGGCAUUGCCCGCGAUCAUGGAGACAUUGUUGAUGAUCACAGAGACACCGUCUAUGAUCUCAGAGACAUCGUCCACGAUCACAAAGACAUUGUCCAUGAUCACAGAGACUUUGUCCAUAAUCUCAGAGACAUUGUCCGCGAUCGCAGAGACGUAGUCCGCGAUCACAGAGAGUCUUCAUACAAUGAAGAAGUUCUUUGAGACCAGGACAGAGACCUCCAGGCGUCACCACUUUGUCCACAACAUCAUCCACGAUCGCAGAGACAUGGUCCAUGAUCGGAGAGACAUUGUUGAGGAUGAGGGAGACAUCGUCCACAAUCAGAGACAUUGUCCACGAUCGCAGAGACCUUGUCAAAGAUGAGAGAGACGUCGUCCAUGAUCAGAGACAUUGUCCCAUGCUUCGUAGAGACCUUGCGAUAGAAUCGGCGGAGACGGGGGUCACCGAUUUGAAGGCAUUGCCCGCGAUCAUGGAGACAUUGUUGAUGAUCACAGAGACACCGUCUAUGAUCUCAGAGACAUCGUCCACGAUCACAAAGACAUUGUCCAUGAUCACAGAGACUUUGUCCAUAAUCUCAGAGACAUUGUCCGCGAUCGCAGAGACGUAGUCCGCGAUCACAGAGAGUCUUCAUACAAUGAAGAAGUUCUUUGAGACCAGGACAGAGGCCUCCAGGCGUCACCACUUUGUCCACAACAUCAUCCACGAUCGCAGAGACAUGGUCCAUGAUCGGAGAGACAUUGUUGAGGAUGAGGGAGACAUCGUCCACAAUCAGAGACAUUGUCCACGAUCGCAGAGACCUUGUCAAAGAUGAGAGAGACGUCGUCCAUGAUCAGAGACAUUGUCCCAUGCUUCGUAGAGACCUUGCGAUAGAAUCGGCGGAGACGGGGGUCACCGAUUUGAAGGCAUUGCCCGCGAUCAUGGAGACAUUGUUGAUGAUCACAGAGACACCGUCUAUGAUCUCAGAGACAUCGUCCACGAUCACAAAGACAUUGUCCAUGAUCACAGAGACUUUGUCCAUAAUCUCAGAGACAUUGUCCGCGAUCGCAGAGACGUAGUCCGCGAUCACAGAGAGUCUUCAUACAAUGAAGAAGUUCUUUGAGACCAGGACAGAGGCCUCCAGGCGUCACCACUUUGUCCACAACAUCAUCCACGAUCGCAGAGACAUGGUCCAUGAUCGGAGAGACAUUGUUGAGGAUGAGGGAGACAUCGUCCACAAUCAGAGACAUUGUCCACGAUCGCAGAGACCUUGUCAAAGUAUAAUGUAAUGGGAAAAGUAAUCUAAUAUUAGAGGUGUCACCACUUCGUUCACAACAUUGUCCACGACCGCUGAGACGUCGUCCACUAUCACAGACCGUCUUCAUAUAAUGAAGUUCUUUGAGACCAGGACAGAAGUCUCCAGGUAAUUCACAAACAGUUGAA
Molecule: long non-coding RNA, 1851 nt
Organism: Lates calcarifer (barramundi perch)
Lineage: Eukaryota; Metazoa; Chordata; Actinopteri; Centropomidae
Exons: 6
Source: RefSeq, a predicted model, not a curated record